GUGAAUUGAGCUGGCUUCGGCCGCUCUGAUCUAUACACACCUGUGAACUGUUGGCCUUCGGGUCUUUAAUUACAACUGUGACGAACGUAAAUUAUUAUAACAAAUA
RNAcentral lists this unclassified non-coding RNA (106 nucleotides) under uncultured Tremellales. RNAcentral's name for it is "sequence contains ITS1". Lineage: Eukaryota; Fungi; Basidiomycota; Tremellomycetes; Tremellales. The record is from RNAcentral.